AUACGGAGGGGGCUAGCGUUGUUCGGAAUUACUGGGCGUAAAGGGCACGUAGGCGGACCAGCCAGUCAGGCGUGAAAGCCCCGGGCUUAACCUGGGAACUGCGCUUGAUACUGCUGGUCUAGAGUCCGGGAGAGGGUAGCGGAAUUUCCAGUGUAGAGGUGAAAUUCGUAGAUAUUGGAAAGAACACCAGUGGCGAAGGCGGCUACCUGGCUCGAUAUUGACGCUGAGGUGCGAAAGCGUGGGGAGCAAACAGGAUUAGAAACCCUGGUAGUCC
Molecule: ribosomal RNA, 274 nt
Filed under: uncultured bacterium
Lineage: Bacteria
Description: partial 16S ribosomal RNA
Rfam family: Bacterial small subunit ribosomal RNA
Source: RNAcentral